CCUACGGGAGGCUGCAGUGGGGAAUAUUGCACAAUGGGGGAAACCCUGAUGCAGCGACGCCGCGUGAGUGAAGAAGUAUUUCGGUAUGUAAAGCUCUAUCAGCAGGGAAGAGAAUGACGGUACCUGAGUAAGAAGCCCCGGCUAACUACGUGCCAGCAGCCGCGGUAAUACGUAGGGGGCAAGCGUUAUCCGGAUUUACUGGGUGUAAAGGGAGCGUAGACGGCGAAGAAAGUCUGAAGUGAAAGCCCGCGGCUCAACCGCGGAACUGCUUUGGAAACUGUUGAACUAGAUUGCAGGAGAGGUAAGUGGAAUUCCUAGUGUAGCGGUGAAAUGCGUAGAUAUUAGGAGGAACACCAGUGGCGAAGGCGGCUUACUGGACUGUAAAUGACGCUGAGGCUCGAAAGCGUGGGGAGCAAACAGGAUUAGAUACCCGGGUAGUC
This 440-nucleotide ribosomal RNA is filed under the name uncultured bacterium. Its description in RNAcentral is "partial 16S ribosomal RNA". It matches the Rfam family "Bacterial small subunit ribosomal RNA", at positions 338 to 795 of the family's 1533-position model. The record is from RNAcentral.